CUUCGUUUCAAAAUGAAAAAAUUUCUGUGUAUCACAUCGGCACUCUUGUUGUGUAUGUGCUUUGCAGAUGCAAGGGACAUUCGCUCUCCAUGCAACCCUAAUCUCAAUGCUACCUGUGUUGAUUCCGAGCCUACAAUUUUUGAAAGGAUUG
Molecule: long non-coding RNA, 151 nt
Organism: Drosophila innubila
Lineage: Eukaryota; Metazoa; Arthropoda; Insecta; Diptera; Drosophilidae
Exons: 2
Source: RefSeq, a predicted model, not a curated record